RNAcentral lists this ribosomal RNA (699 nucleotides) under uncultured bacterium. RNAcentral's name for it is "bacterial SSU rRNA". It matches the Rfam family "Bacterial small subunit ribosomal RNA", at positions 8 to 697 of the family's 1533-position model. The record is from RNAcentral.
AGAGUUUGAUCCUGGCUCAGAUUGAACGCUGGCGGCAUGCCUAACACAUGCAAGUCGAACGGAAACGAUGGGAGCUUGCUCCCAGGCGUCGAGUGGCGGACGGGUGAGUAAUACUUAGGAAUCUACCCAGUAGCGGGGGACAACUCGAGGAAACUCGAGCUAAUACCGCAUACGCCCUACGGGGGAAAGCAGGGGAUCUUCGGACCUUGCACUAUUGGAUGAGCCUAAGUCGGAUUAGCUUGUUGGUGAGGUAAAGGCUCACCAAGGCGACGAUCCGUAGCUGGUCUGAGAGGACGAUCAGCCACACUGGGACUGAGACACGGCCCAGACUCCUACGGGAGGCAGCAGUGGGGAAUAUUGGACAAUGGGGGCAACCCUGAUCCAGCAAUGCCGCGUGUGUGAAGAAGGCCUGCGGGUUGUAAAGCACUUUCAGUAGAGAAGAAAAGCCCACGGCUAAUACCCGUGAGUCUUGACGUUACCUACAGAAGAAGCUCCGGCUAACUCCGUGCCAGCAGCCGCGGUAAUACGGAGGGAGCGAGCGUUAAUCGGAAUUACUGGGCGUAAAGCGCGCGUAGGCGGCUUUGUAAGUCGGAUGUGAAAGCCCUGGGCUCAACCUGGGAAUGGCAUUCGAUACUGCAGAGCUAGAGUAUUGGUAAAGGGAAGUGGAAUUUCCGGUGUAGCGGUGGAAUGCGUAAAUUU